GUUAUCACUUCAGCAGCACAUAUACUAACACUGGAACAAUACAGAGAAAAUUAACAUGGCUACUGCACAAGGAUGACAUGCAAAUUCAUGAAGUGUUCCAUAUAAAU
Camelus dromedarius (Arabian camel) is the source of this 107-nucleotide small nuclear RNA. The record is from Ensembl. NCBI's taxonomy places the organism in Eukaryota, Metazoa, Chordata, Mammalia, Artiodactyla, Camelidae.